Schistosoma haematobium is the source of this 45-nucleotide non-coding RNA. The record is from Rfam. Lineage: Eukaryota; Metazoa; Platyhelminthes; Trematoda; Strigeidida; Schistosomatidae.
AUCCAGCUGACGAGUCCCAAAUGGGGCUAAACGCACGUCCUCGAU